RNAcentral lists this long non-coding RNA (892 nucleotides) under Malus domestica (apple). RNAcentral describes it as "long non-coding RNA (MDOM_LNC018303)". The record is from RNAcentral. Lineage: Eukaryota; Viridiplantae; Streptophyta; Magnoliopsida; Rosales; Rosaceae.
AUGCUCCAAAAUGCACUUCUUUGCCACAUUAACCCUUUGGACUUACAACACAGGAAAAUAGCUUAAAAUACUAAAAUAACUAUGAACUAACAACAUAAAUGCCAAGAAACAAGGUAACUAAGUCGCAUAAAUAUGCUCCUAUCAGACAUUUGUCUCUCAAUUAGAAGUAGUCCUUCAAAGAAAUAUUGAAUUAAGAGCUCUUCCUUCAUUUGAUGUUGUGGAUAGGAUGCAACUAAAGUCUUGAAAUGCUCGUAAUACACUGGUGAUGCGAAAUAUAUAAGCACACAAAUUAAACCCUCUUUUGACAAUUGUAGUAUAUGUAUAAGUAGGGAUCGUUCUAGAUCGGGGAUUAGGAGGGAUUGGUAAAACACUUGAAACUGACUGGAAAACGUAAAACUAAGUUUGAAACACUAAACUAGACUCAAAGAAUGCAAAACUAGACUCUAAUACACUAGAACAACUCAAAUAACUCAAAACAGCACAAAACAAGCUAAUUGACUCAAAAAAGACAAUCUGCACGAAAUUGGGGAAAAAUAUGGAUGAUUGGUUAGCUAGAGUUCCUUCUCCACACAUGACACAUUUGCAUAGAAAUUGAUGUUCAGUUGUUCUUUCAAUAAACCAUAAACCUCAAUGCCCCAGAUUAACUGUGAAUUGCACUAAUGAACCUUCAGAUUUUCCUAGUUUCAUUGAAUUGGACUCUGCAUCGACAACCAAAUUAUUCCUCACAAGUUCCCUACAUGAAUUGCAUAAUAGAGAUAUAAGCAAAGAUCACUAAGUUCUAUGAAAAUCAUAAGCAUUGACAAGGUACUUGUAACUAUGAAUUGCAUGAUACUUAUGCCAAGAAUUUACUUAACACGAUCGUGACCAGCAACCUCCACUACUCGUGAAUAUA